GAGACAGGUGCUGCAUGGCUGUCGUCAGCUCGUGUUGUGAAAUGUUGGGUUAAGUCCCGCAACGAGCGCAACCCUUAUCCUUUGUUGCCAGCGGUCCGGCCGGGAACUCAAAGGAGACUGCCAGUGAUAAACUGGAGGAAGGUGGGGAUGACGUCAAGUCAUCAUGGCCCUUACGACCAGGGCUACACACGUGCUACAAUGGCGCAUACAAAGAGAAGCGACCUCGCGAGAGCAAGCGGACCUCAUAAAGUGCGUCGUAGUCCGGAUUGGAGUCUGCAACUCGACUCCAUGAAGUCGGAAUCGCUAGUAAUCGUGGAUCAGAAUGCCACGGUGAAUACGUUCCCGGGCCUUGUACACACCGCCCGUCACACCAUGGGAGUGGGUUGCAAAAGAAGUAGGUAGCUUAACCUUCGGGAGGGCGCUUACCACUUUGUGAUUCAUGACUGGGGUGAAGUCGUAACAAGGUAACCGUAGGGGAACCUGCGGUUGGAUCAC
Molecule: ribosomal RNA, 495 nt
Filed under: Escherichia coli
Lineage: Bacteria; Pseudomonadati; Pseudomonadota; Gammaproteobacteria; Enterobacterales; Enterobacteriaceae
Also listed under: 1 other name
Description: bacterial SSU rRNA
Rfam family: Bacterial small subunit ribosomal RNA
Source: RNAcentral